RNAcentral lists this ribosomal RNA (721 nucleotides) under uncultured archaeon. RNAcentral's name for it is "bacterial SSU rRNA". It matches the Rfam family "Archaeal small subunit ribosomal RNA", at positions 111 to 834 of the family's 1478-position model. The record is from RNAcentral.
GCCCAAGGGUCUGGGAUAACCCCGGGAAACUGGGGAUAAUACCGGAUGGAUCACUAGUGCUGGAAUGCUUGGUGGUUUAAAGGCAACGCCUUUGGAUGGGUCUGCGGCGGAUUAGGUUGACGCCGGUGUAACGUACCGGCGUGCCUGUAAUCCGUACGGGUUGUGGGAGCAAGAGCCCGGAGAUGGAUUCUGAGACACGAAUCCAGGCCCUACGGGGCGCAGCAGGCGCGAAAACUCUACAAUGCAGGCAACUGCGAUAGGGGGACAUCGAGUGGCAUCCACCUUGGGUGCCUGUCCAACCGUCUAAAAAACGGUUGUUAGCAAGGGCCGGGUAAGACCGGUGCCAGCCGCCGCGGUAAUACCGGCGGCUCGAGUGGUGGCCGAUAUUAUUGAGUCUAAAGGGUCCGUAGCCGGCUUUGCAAGUCCCCUGGGAAAAUCCAGCGGCUUAACCGUUGGGCUUUCAUGGGAUACUACAUUGCUUGGGACUGGGAGAGGUAGGAGGUACUCGGGGGGUAGGGGUGAAAUCCUGUAAUCCUCCGGGGACCACCGGUGGCGAAGGCGUCCUACCAGAACAGGUCCGACGGUGAGGGACGAAAGCUAGGGGCACGAACCGGAUUAGAUACCCGGGUAGUCCUAGCCGUAAACGAUGCCCGCUAGGUGUCACGACGGUCGUGAAUCGUCGUGGUGCCGUAGGGAAGCCGCGAAGCGGGCCACUUUCGAA